RNAcentral lists this long non-coding RNA (558 nucleotides) under Physcomitrium patens. RNAcentral describes it as "long non-coding RNA (PPAT_LNC010845)". The record is from RNAcentral. Lineage: Eukaryota; Viridiplantae; Streptophyta; Bryopsida; Funariales; Funariaceae.
AGGGUGUGGAAGCAAUUGCAUCAACUCUUGGGGCUGCGGAUUGCUGAAGGGAUCACAUACAGAGAAUGGCUUCUCCGCGUUUAAAGCAUUGGGCGGGGAGCAGUAGAGAUGGUAAGCCGUGUAAGGGAAGUUGUUUGUGUCGGUGCGAGGGAUCCUCGUUCCAUUUAUCGCUGUAUGAUAGGGUGGACAAAGCGCUAAAUUGUCCGGCCUGCAUUCAGUUUGUACCACGGUAACCGGAAGUCAGAAGGUGAGGAAGAGAGUAGGAUUUCAAUUAUUACAAUCUAUAAGAACUAUGAAAUUCGCAUAGAGUGUGUGAGAGGGAUUCUGAGAUGAGAGGCACCGACCUACACCAGGAUGGCGUUUGGGGAUUGAUUAUCAUUUCGACGUAACGCGUGACGUCUGUGUCCAUAUUACCAUCGCAGGCUUCGCCAGAAUUUUUCCAGCAUCCACCGAUGUCGAUCAAGUAAAACUGACUCGCUCGCCCGCCGCCUUCUAUCACAUUUAACGUGACCACGACCUUGAAAUUCGGCGAAGAAGGCACCUACAACAGAAAUCUCC